AGGGCAAGUCUGGUGCCAGCAGCCGCGGUAAUUCCAGCUCCAAUAGCGUAUAUUAAAGUUGUUGCAGUUAAAAAGCUCGUAGUUGAAUUUCGGGGUUAGUAGGUUGGUCAUGCCUCAGGUAUGUACUGAUCUCACUGAUUCCUCCUUCCUGAUGAACCGUAAUGCCAUUAAUUUGGUGUUGCGGGGAAACUGGACUGUUACUUUGAAAAAAUUAGAGUGUUUAAAGCAGGCUAACGCUUGAAUACAUUAGCAUGGAAUAAUGAAAUAGGACGUUCGAUCCUAUUUUGUUGGUUUCUAGGAUUGACGUAAUGAUUAAUAGGGAUAGUUGGGGGCAUUAGUAUUCAAUUGUCAGAGGUGAAAUUCUUGGAUUUAUUGAAGACUAACUACUGCGAAAGCAUUUGCCAAGGAUGUUUUCAUUAAUCAAGAACGAGAGUUAGGGGAUCGAAGACGAUCAGAUACCAUCGUAGUCUUAACCAUAAACUAUGCCGACUAGGGAUCGGAUGAUGUUAAUUUUUUAAUGACUCAUUCGGCGCCUUACGGGAA
This 543-nucleotide ribosomal RNA is filed under the name uncultured Glomeromycotina. RNAcentral's name for it is "SSU rRNA". It matches the Rfam family "Eukaryotic small subunit ribosomal RNA", at positions 552 to 1096 of the family's 1831-position model. Lineage: Eukaryota; Fungi; Glomeromycota. The record is from RNAcentral.